CCCUGGGCAGAGGAGAAAGGCCGUGACCGCAAAGGAAAACCCAAAAAACCCAGUGGGAAGAAGUGGGACCCAGAUGAGGACGAGCGGGCUCCUCCGGAGGAGAAGACGAAGUGUCCCCCCAUCGGGCUGGAGUCCCACCGCAUCGAGGACGAGCAGCUCCUGGCCUCGUCCAUGCUGCGCCACGGCCUGGGCGCCCAGCGCGGGCGCCUCAACAUG
This is a non-coding RNA of Tinamus guttatus (white-throated tinamou), 216 nucleotides long. The record is from RefSeq and is a predicted model, not a curated record. NCBI's taxonomy places the organism in Eukaryota, Metazoa, Chordata, Aves, Tinamiformes, Tinamidae.